Molecule: long non-coding RNA, 854 nt
Filed under: Monodelphis domestica (gray short-tailed opossum)
Lineage: Eukaryota; Metazoa; Chordata; Mammalia; Didelphimorphia; Didelphidae
Description: lncRNA (ENSMODG00000046958.1)
Source: RNAcentral
UUUUUUUCUCAAAAAUAUACAGUUGUAUGCAUUGGCAUAGUGACCAUAUUUGAUGAUUAAGAUCAAUAAAUUAAACAGUGAAUUAUAUAAGCACUAAAAGUUAGCUACCUAUUUUGAUCAUGUGGUUUGAAAAAUUUGUCUUCCAGAAGAUCAAUCCAGAAUUACAGAAUUAGAGGAAAUGGACAAUCCAGCUUCCCUUACCACUUGUGGAACAAAGACAUAGAAAGAAGAAUAAACUGAAUUCUGUCUAAGAUUUCCAAAGAACAAUUAUAGGACAUCUAAGUCAUCACGUGGCUGCAACACCAAAAAAGUCAAGACAGAAGAGAAGAACAGGGUAUGUAAGCCAAAGUCACCACAAGCCAAACCAGACCUGGAAAGACAAGAAGAAUCAUCAUUAGAUAAAGCAGAAGCUGCAAUGGAAGAUGAGUUUUUGGAAGAGACUUUUGCCUUUUCACAGGUUUACUAUCUGUUUCUCAUUUCAAAAUUGGGAAAACUGGUGUGUGUGUGUGUGUGUGUGUGUGUGUGUACAAAGGAGGAAGGGAGGUGGGUUAUUUUAUUUUAACACUUUGGAUCUAUAUUAAAAGAUAACAAAAGGUGUAGCUUAAAAGUGCUACUUCAAAAUGUAUAAUCUGGUAUAGGAGAUAUAGUUCAUCAGCUAAUGUUAUGGGUGUUUAUGAAUAGAACAUAAAAUGUAUUAAAGAUAAAAUUAAUGAAUCAUUCAGAAGUUAUGUAUUGAUCAUCUAUAAUUUAUUAAUUUAUUUCAUUCAUCAGAAAUAUAAUAUGGCUUUUAAAUGUUCUUUAUGUGGCAGGAAAUACAAAAUAAAUGCAUGACAUGAACUCUUCCUGGAACUGAG